This 668-nucleotide ribosomal RNA is filed under the name uncultured soil bacterium. Its description in RNAcentral is "bacterial SSU rRNA". It matches the Rfam family "Bacterial small subunit ribosomal RNA", at positions 55 to 719 of the family's 1533-position model. The record is from RNAcentral.
AUGCAAGUCGCGUGCGCAGUUGCCGUAGCAAUACGGUGAUGGGCGCACGGCGCACGGGUGCGUAACACGUGGGCAAUCUGCCCUUUGAUGGGGAAUAACCCGCCGAAAGGCGGGCUAAUUCCGCAUAAGAUUCUUUGGACCUCGGUCUGAAGAUUGAAAGCAGCAAUGCGUCGAAGGAGGAGCCCGCGCCCGAUUAGCUAGUUGGUGAGGUAAUGGCUCACCAAGGCAAUGAUCGGUAGCUGGUCUGAGAGGAUGAUCAGCCACACUGGAACUGAGACACGGUCCAGACUCCUACGGGAGGCAGCAGUGGGGAAUCUUGCACAAUGGGCGAAAGCCUGAUGCAGCGACGCCGCGUGGGGGAUGAAGCAUUUCGGUGUGUAAACCCCUUUCGACUGGGAAGAAUGCCUCGCAAGAGGAGUGACGGUACCAGUAGAAGAAGCCCCGGCUAACUACGUGCCAGCAGCCGCGGUAAGACGUAGGGGGCCAGCGUUGUUCGGAAUUACUGGGUGUAAAGGGUUCGUAGGCGGUGCGGCAAGUUGGGAGUGAAAUCUCUGGGCUUAACCCAGAGGCUGCUUCCAAAACUGCUGUGCUCGAGUGUGAGAGAGGCUCGUGGAAUUGCAGGUGUAGCGGUGAAAUGCGUAGAUAUCUGCAGGAACACCCGUGGCGAA